ACGGAGCGGCGUGGCACGUCAGCGGGCGCUGUAAGCAGAGCGCCAUGUUUGCGUCGACGCACCUUCCUGCUGUCUGUCUUCUGACUCGGCAGCAGAAGGGCUGAAAAAAGGAAGAUCUUGUGAUGGGUGCGCGAAGAGCGCAACGUUUGGCCUUCAUUCACGACUCCUGACCGUGACUUCACCCCCUUACCACCUUCAGGGCCAGGAUGAGGAAAGAGUGAAAGGAGAAAAAAUGACUGACUGCCAGCUGAACAAAAGCACAGAGCUCCAGGGUGAAUCCGUCUGAGAGACGAGAGUGCUUCAUGCGGCCGGAGUCGGGAGAUCAAUAUUUACAGACACUCCUCUUCUUUAGACAGCAUUCAUGUCACAACGAACAAACAGGCCCUCCCUGCAAAGUGCAAAAGGCUGUAUAAAAAUGACCAUUCAAGGAUGGCACAAAACCGAUGAACAAGACACCAACAAAAAUGAUGUGGCGGUGUGACGUUACGGCCUCCAGCUGCCUCCACUUCACAGGAAGAGUCGGGGUCAUCCGGAGUGACGGCCCUGGGUCUCUGAGAUGGACGGACGGACGGGUGGGUUGAGUGGGCCGAGGAGGCAGGAGCACACGGCUAUAGCAUGUUGAGGAUGGCGUUGUACAUCUGGACCAGCACGGCCAAGUGGACGGGGAGGCAAGACUGCCGGUCCUGGGUGGCAGGCGUGCAGCUCAUCGGACUGGACCAUGGAGAUGUGGUGGUGGAGCGAUGCCUGCGCACAAGCAAAGAGCGGGAACUCAGCCGUCUUGACUACACGGAGUCGUUAUCUCUUCUCAGUGUUGUCUCAAAAUCAGAACUUGUAAUUUUACAUAUAUUUUACUUUGAA
Molecule: long non-coding RNA, 858 nt
Organism: Syngnathus acus (greater pipefish)
Lineage: Eukaryota; Metazoa; Chordata; Actinopteri; Syngnathiformes; Syngnathidae
Exons: 6
Source: RefSeq, a predicted model, not a curated record